Long non-coding RNA from Oncorhynchus nerka (sockeye salmon), 510 nucleotides. RefSeq lists it as uncharacterized. The transcript is spliced from 3 exons. Lineage: Eukaryota; Metazoa; Chordata; Actinopteri; Salmoniformes; Salmonidae. The record is from RefSeq and is a predicted model, not a curated record.
GAGACACCAAGAGAUGGAUGAGACACCGAAAAGAGAUGGAUGAGACACCGAAAGAUGAUGGAUGAGAUACGUACUUCUUCCUUGUUUGUCACUGAAGGAGACAGUCGUAGUGGCAGCUUGGGAGGGCAGAGACAGGAGGAGGUGGAUGGAGAGGUUCCCGGGGGCAGCUGGAGACAGAGAAGACACCAGGCCAGGGACAGGGCACCCUGGAACAGCUGAGACAGAGACAGCAGGAGGACCAGGAGGAGAUGGAGGAGUUGAACCGCAGGAGAGAGGAGAAACGCAGAGCCAGGGAGGAGGAGGAGCACCAGAGAGAGAAAGAGGAGCAGCACAGACAGGAGCAGGAGGAGGAGGAGAGGAAGAGGGUGAAAGACGGGAUAGAGAGUAGGAGGAUGGCGGCUUCAGAGAGAAGGAUGAAGAACCUCAGUAUUUCCAGCAUUGAGGGAGACGAGUCCUUCAGCCCCUUCAGUCCCAUGAGCCCCACCUUCAAGGUACUACUGAUGUCCCGGU